CGGGAGUGACUUAGCGGCGGACGGGUGAGUAACGCGUGGGUAACCUGCCCCAUACCGGGGGAUAACGGUUAGAAAUGACCGCUAAUACCGCUUAAGCGCACGAGGCCGCAUGGCCGCGCGCGAAAAACUCCGGUGGUAUGGGAUGGGCCCGCGUCUGAUUAGCUAGUUGGCGGGGUAAAGGCCCACCAAGGCGACGAUCAGUAGCCGACCUGAGAGGGUGAACGGCCACAUUGGGACUGAGACACGGCCCAAACUCCUACGGAAGGCAGCAG
Molecule: ribosomal RNA, 272 nt
Filed under: uncultured bacterium
Lineage: Bacteria
Description: partial 16S ribosomal RNA
Rfam family: Bacterial small subunit ribosomal RNA
Source: RNAcentral